Molecule: unclassified non-coding RNA, 611 nt
Filed under: uncultured marine bacterium
Lineage: Bacteria
Description: partial contains 16S ribosomal RNA, 16S-23S ribosomal RNA intergenic spacer, and 23S ribosomal RNA
Rfam family: Bacterial large subunit ribosomal RNA (bases 499-611)
Source: RNAcentral
ACCCUUGACCACGGUAUAGUCAGCGACUGGGGUGAAGUCGUAACAAGGUAGCCGUAGGGGAACCUGCGGCUGGAUUACCUCCUUUCUAAGGAUGAAUGAAAGUAAAAUUUCAUUCUAAAUAAUAUACAUCGGUAAUGUUGACCGUCCUCAUUUCUCUUCUUAAAGUAAUGUUUCCUUCUUGUAGGGCCGGUAGCUCAGUUGGUUAGAGCACACCCUUGAUAAGGGUGGGGUCGAAAGUUCGAGUCUUUCUCAGCCCACCAUACUUAACUGGGGGAUUAGCUCAGCUGGGAGAGCGCCUGAUUUGCAUUCAGGAGGUCAGCGGUUCGAUCCCGCUAUCCUCCACCAGGAAACAUUUAGUUAUAAAAACUGUAAAUAAAUUAAUAAUUAAUAUCAAUAUCUAUAUCCGAACAUUAGUAAUGUUAUUAGCUAAUGUUCAAAAUAAAAAUUUGAUCACAACAUAGAUUAAUUUUCUUUUAAAAGAAUUUUUUUCUGUGCAUAAAUCAAGCGUUUAAGGGCGUGUAGUGGAUGCCUUGGCACUGAAAGCCGAUGAAGGACGUGAUAUACUGCGAUAAGUUUCGGGGAGCUGUAUGUAAGUUUUGAUCCGAAAAUUU